This 824-nucleotide ribosomal RNA is filed under the name uncultured Actinomycetes bacterium. RNAcentral describes it as "bacterial SSU rRNA". It matches the Rfam family "Bacterial small subunit ribosomal RNA", at positions 9 to 842 of the family's 1533-position model. The record is from RNAcentral. Lineage: Bacteria; Bacillati; Actinomycetota; Actinomycetes.
GAGUUUGAUUAUGGCUCAGGACGAACGCUGGCGGCGCGCCUAACACAUGCAAGUCGAGGGAGAAGCACAUCUUCGGAUGUGUGGAGACCGGCGAACGGGUGAGUAACACGUGAGAAACCUACCCCGGAGAUGGGAAUAACCACUGUAUAAACUGUGGCUAAUGCCCAAUACUCUCCAAUUACCGCAUGGCAGCUGGAGGAAAAGUCCGCUGCUCCGGGAUGGUCUCGCGGCGUAUCAGCUAGUUGGUGAGGUAAUGGCUCACCAAGGCAACGACGCGUAGCUGGAGUGAGAGCUCGAACAGCCACACUGGGACUGAGACACGGCCCAGACUCCUACGGGAGGCAGCAGUGGGGAAUCUUGCGCAAUGGGCGAAAGCCUGACGCAGCGACGCCGCGUGUGGGAAGAAGGCCUUCGGGUUGUAAACCACUUUCAGGAGGGAAGAAGCGAAAGUGACGGUACCUCCAGAAGAAGGUCCGGCCAACUACGUGCCAGCAGCCGCGGUAAUACGUAGGGACCGAGCGUUGUCCGGAAUUAUUGGGCGUAAAGAGCUCGUAGGCGGUUCUUUAAGUCGGGUGUGAAAUCUCAGGGCUUAACCCUGAAACCGCACCCGAUACUGGAGAACUUGAGGCAGGUAGGGGAGAUCGGAAUUCCUGGUGUAGCGGUGAAAUGCGCAGAUAUCAGAGGAACACCGGGUGGCGAAGCGGAUCUCUGGGCCCUGUUCUGACGCUGAGGAGCGAAAGCGUGGGGGAGCAAACAGGAUUAGAUACCCUGGUAGUCCACGCCGUAAACGAUGGGGUGCUAGGGUGGUUGGGGGAAAAUUAAUU